RNAcentral lists this ribosomal RNA (558 nucleotides) under uncultured eukaryote. Its description in RNAcentral is "SSU rRNA". It matches the Rfam family "Eukaryotic small subunit ribosomal RNA", at positions 4 to 564 of the family's 1831-position model. The record is from RNAcentral.
CUGGUUGAUCCUGCCAGUAGUCAUACGCUUGUCUCAAAGAUUAAGCCAUGCAUGUCUAAGUAUAAAUCUUUAUACGGUGAAACUGCGAAUGGCUCAUUAUAUCAGUUAUAGUUUAUUUGAUAGUCCCCUACUACUUGGAUAACCGUAGUAAUUCUAGAGCUAAUACAUGCGUCAAGGCCCAACUGCUUCGGCGGGCGGGCUGUAUUUAUUAGAGUUGAACCAGCCGCCUUCGGGUGUUUUUUGGUGAAUCAUGAUAACUUUGCGAAUCGUAUGCUUCGGCGACGAUGAAUCAUUCAAGUUUCUGCCCUAUCAAGUGGCGAUGGUAGGGUAUUGGCCUACCAUGCUAGUGACGGGUGACGGAGAAUUAGGGUUCGAUUCCGGAGAGGGAGCCUGAGAGACGGCUACCACAUCUAAGGAAGGCAGCAGGCGCGUAAAUUACCCAAUCCUGACACGGGGAGGUAGUGACAAUAAAUAACAAUACGGGGCUUUUCAAGUCUUGUAAUUGGAAUGAGAACAAUUUAAAUCCCUUAUCGAGGAACAAUUGGAGGGCAAGUCUGG